CCAAAUUCUUUUGUGGCUGUUACAUCCUUAAUGCUUAAAAAGGGGAAAUAAAGUGUCAGAAGAUCUUGGUAGCCAAGGGAAGGAAGUCAUGUUUAAAAUAUCUUUGGGCAGCAAAACUUAUCUGUUUAUUACAUGCCUGCCUGCCUGUAGCUGUAUCAUCCAAGCUGUGAGCUGCCCCAGCCUCCUGCUGCUCUCCAGGUCCUCCUCCUCCCUCAGCUCCUCCUCCUCCUUUCAGAGUUCACCGAGUCCCGUUUAAUGCUGCCUUCACCGGCAUAGGUGUGUGGCCAUCCACUGGAGCAUGGGCAGCCUACAGUGCCACACCCUUCCUUCAGCAGCCAUCUGUUGCCAACAGCUCCUCAGCUGGAGGCGGGGCCUCAGGAGCGCAGAUCCCGCAGAUCCCGUGCAGACAAGAAUGUUGACUGGCUUGCUCUUCUGCAGGUUGUCAGUAGGUAGUAGCCACAGCUGCUCUGGGUGCUGAGUGUGACAGCCC
Molecule: non-coding RNA, 490 nt
Organism: Rattus norvegicus (Norway rat)
Lineage: Eukaryota; Metazoa; Chordata; Mammalia; Rodentia; Muridae
Source: RefSeq, a predicted model, not a curated record